CAAUAGCGUAUAUUAAAGUUGUUGCAGUUAAAAAGCUCGUAGUUGAACUUCAGGCCUGGCUGGGCGGUCUGACUCGCGGUAUGUACUGUCCGGCUGGGUCUUACCUCUUGGUGAGCCUGCAUGCCCUUUAUUGGGUGUGUAGGGGAACCAGGACUUUUACCUUGAAAAAAUUAGAGUGUUCAAAGCAGGCCUACGCCUGAAUACAUUAGCAUGGAAUAAUAAAAUAGGACGUGUGGUUCUAUUUUGUUGGUUUCUAGAAUCAUCGUAAUGAUUAAUAGGGAUAGUUGGGGGCAUUAGUAUUCAGUUGCUAGAGGUGAAAUUCUUGGAUUUACUGAAGACUAACUACUGCGAAAGCAUUUGCCAAGGAUGUUUUCAUUAA
RNAcentral lists this ribosomal RNA (379 nucleotides) under uncultured eukaryote. RNAcentral describes it as "partial 18S ribosomal RNA". It matches the Rfam family "Eukaryotic small subunit ribosomal RNA", at positions 592 to 976 of the family's 1831-position model. The record is from RNAcentral.